Molecule: long non-coding RNA, 1283 nt
Filed under: Piliocolobus tephrosceles (Ugandan red Colobus)
Lineage: Eukaryota; Metazoa; Chordata; Mammalia; Primates; Cercopithecidae
Description: lncRNA (ENSPTEG00000009726.1)
Source: RNAcentral
AUUUAGAAUUUAAAAAUGUUAUAUCUUUUUAUGUUGAUUAUAUUAGCAUAUAUUAAAUUUAGCAUACACAUAUUUGUUUAUUAUGUUUUACACAUACAAAAAGGUAAUUAUAAUUUUAUUUUAAGUUGUUCUUUUAUGUUAAAAACAUUGGAAUAAUUAUUUUGUUUUGUCCUAUUUGGUUUUUUUUUUUAACAAAUACAAAAUAUUUAUUAAUUAUAUGAAAGUAAAUUAAUAUAAAAAAUAUGUACUGAAAAAAGAAAGGAAAUUAUUAUUAUUUUUUUUUUUUAGAAAAUAUUAUUUUUGUAUUAUUUACCAUCUAAUAAUAAUGAAAACUAAAAAUGUGUUCGCUUUUAAUGUUUUACUUUUUACAACUUUGAUUAUUAUCUUUUUAAAUAAUUGCUUUUUUAUACUUUUAUAUAACAAAAAAAAUGAAGGCAGAGGUUCGGAAAAUAAAAUUUAUAGAGCUAAUAGAUGUUUGUGCUUUAACAAUUCUUAUUCUCAUAAAUAUAAAUUGGGAAAAAUUUACAAAAUAGAAAAGGAGUUAUCAUUAAGGCUUAUAAGUGAUGCAUGUUAUGGUAAUUUAUCUAAUAUAAAGUUCAAUAUAAUAAAAAUAAAAAUUAUAGACGAGUUCCAUGUAAACAAUAUGAUUGUUGAGAAAGAUAAAAUAAAUUUAAUAGCAAACAGAAUACAUGAACGCAUAAAUGAUUUUCUUAAAGCGAAUCUAUCUAAGAAAAACAUGCGUACAAUUUUUAAAUAUGAAUGCCAUUUAGUAAAAAAGUAUUUACAACACUUAAACAAUAUUGAGACGUCUGAUAAAGAAGCAAGGCUAAAUUAUUAUAAUACAGCAAAAAAUAAUAUUUUUUCUGAAUUGAAAUGUAAAACACUAUUAAAUGAAAAAAUUAUUAAAAACAUGGCAAGAAGAAUAGUUAGUUUAUUAGCUGAUAUAGCAUUUGAGAAUUUGACUGUACACCAGGAAUUGAUAAAAGGUCAUAAACAAAUGAAAAGUAGUAUAAUAAAUCAAGGCGGAAUAAAAGCACAAGCAAAAAAGAAAACAAAAUAUGAGAAAAAAGAUAAAACAAAAGAUAAAACAUAUGAUAAGACAAAAGAUGAAAUAUAUGAUGAAACAUAUGAUAGGACAAAAGAUGAAACAAAAGAUGAAGUAAAAGAUGAAACAUAUGAUAAGUCAAAAGAUGAAAUAUAUGAUGAGACAGAUGAUGAGACAGAUGAUGAGACACCAUAUGAAACAGAAGAUGAAUCAGAAGAUGAAGCAGAAGUUGAAACAA